RNAcentral lists this small nuclear RNA (323 nucleotides) under Myotis brandtii (Brandt's bat). RNAcentral describes it as "7SK RNA". It matches the Rfam family "7SK RNA". From Rfam's summary of the family: 7SK was discovered as an abundant small nuclear RNA in the mid-70s but a possible function has only recently been suggested. Two independent studies have found that 7SK RNA binds the CDK9/cyclin T complex (known as elongation factor P-TEFb). P-TEFb activates transcription by phosphorylating the C-terminal domain of RNA polymerase II. Lineage: Eukaryota; Metazoa; Chordata; Mammalia; Chiroptera; Vespertilionidae. The record is from Rfam by way of RNAcentral.
GGAUGUGAGGGCGAUCUGGCUGCAACACCUGUCAGUCACCAGGGUUGAUUCAGCUGAUCUGGCUGGCUAGGCGGGUGUCCCCCUCCUCCCUCACCGAUCCAUGUGCAUCCCUUCCGAAGUUGCACGCUCGGUCGAACAGGACGACCUUCCCCCCCAGGUGAGGACCGGUCUUCGGUCAAGGGUAUACGAGUAGCUGCGCUCCCCUGCUAGAACCUCCAAACAAGCUCUCAAGGUCCAUUUGUAGGAGAACUAAGGGUAGUGAAGCUUCCAAGACUCCAGACACAUCCAAAUGAAGCGCUGCACGUGGAAGUCUACCUUCCUUU